ACUCGAUCUCAAAUCAAGUAAGACUACCCGCUGAACUUAAGCAUAUC
This 47-nucleotide ribosomal RNA is filed under the name Podila humilis. RNAcentral's name for it is "Mortierella humilis partial 28S ribosomal RNA". Lineage: Eukaryota; Fungi; Mortierellomycota; Mortierellomycetes; Mortierellales; Mortierellaceae. The record is from RNAcentral.